Molecule: long non-coding RNA, 902 nt
Organism: Orussus abietinus
Lineage: Eukaryota; Metazoa; Arthropoda; Insecta; Hymenoptera; Orussidae
Exons: 4
Source: RefSeq, a predicted model, not a curated record
UUUCACUCGGCACGUGGGCGAUGAAGUCAGACGAUUCAUCCCGAGUUAUCGCGAGAAAUUGACUCCUGUUAGGCAAUGCGUUAACUCGCGAUAACUCGGUCUGGUAUGAAUGAAUUAAUCGUACGAGACUUUACUACGUCUACGUAAUUCGGAUGCGAGAAAAUCAAGUGUAAAGUCGAGCAUGUAGGUCGUCGAGAUUCUUUGAAGGCGGGACGUUUCAUCAGAAGCUUCCUGAUUCACCGUUUUAACCCGUUGAAAGCGGUCCAAGGAAUUGGGAUUUAAAUAUCCGCCGGGUUAAAUAAUUAUUCGAUAGACUUUCAACCGAUUUUUAACGAGGACAAGCGCAUGACUUUAAUCAUCAGUAAUCAUGUACAAUCAUGUACACAUGUAGUUUUCGCAAGGAAUUGACUCACAAUUACGUCCGUGCGUGAAGUAACACGGAAGAACUCAUUGCCAGGGCGUUAAAGAGGAAAAUUAGCAUGAAUAUCAGUCUCGCUGGGGCAUCCUUUGUUCCUUCCUCGAGGCCCGGGAAGAACUUCUCUCCCAGCCUCCAGUAUUCAAUUAUCUCUGACGGAUCUCGAGGAACGCCCAUCUCUCGAGGUGCCUUUACUACCUGACUUUCCGACACUCUCCUGCAAAAAGGGAGGCCGACGGAUUUUAACGCCCUGGCAGUUUUUGGAAGGACGAGUUUUGGGACACCUGUUCCCUCGGGACUUCCUCCAGAAUUCUGAAAUAAAGGACAUAUCAAUCCGGGAAACCCAGGAUAAAAAUCACUGGAAGCUUUUCAUCAUUUAAGGCGAGAUAUAGCGACUUUACGAAUGAAGUUAAUUCCAAAAUUCAAGGUGAGAGGCAGCGGACCAAUCAGGAGCGAGAUCCGCGGCGGCGGACCAAUCAGAGUGCAG